GUUUACGAUUGAUUUGAAAUCUUUAUCAGGAGACAUACCUCUGCAAGUACUCGUACAUCAUCGACGACCGUAUGAAAAGAAAAUUUUGAAAAAUAGCAGCAGCAGCAGGAAUGGCACUUCGGGGGGGGAAGAAGAUGCGGAAGAAGCUGUACCUAUCUUUCCUUCCGAAUACUGAUGAAAACAGGACCAAGCAGCGAACCUUAACGGCAUCUCCCACGAACAUAGAAGGGUCAAAUACCUCCGGAGACAAGGUUGCUUAUAAUCCGGAGCCGAUAUUACCAGUUUCAAUUUCCAAUUUUGCCGUAAUGGUUGAACAGAAGAGAAUAUUCGUUUACAAUACUGAGUGGAUCGCGGAGGCGUUGAGUGGAAAAUUCAAAGAAUGGUACGAUGGAUAUCAUUAUGGUGACACCAUCAUAUUCAACCCAUACUCCGUGACUUUGGAAAUUGAUUCGAGGAAAUUUGAUAGUUUUUGGGGAAAUUCAGGUUCGAUAGAACUUAUCCAAAAACUUAUUUCUCUUGCAGGAAGUUUUGGUAUGCUGGAAUUACAUUUCCUGCUUUCUGGAUAUCCGUUAGAGAAUAAUCAUUAA
Molecule: long non-coding RNA, 587 nt
Filed under: Bemisia tabaci
Lineage: Eukaryota; Metazoa; Arthropoda; Insecta; Hemiptera; Aleyrodidae
Description: lncRNA ENSSSA1UGG011727
Source: RNAcentral